Molecule: unclassified non-coding RNA, 329 nt
Filed under: soil metagenome
Description: partial contains 5.8S ribosomal RNA, internal transcribed spacer 2, and large subunit ribosomal RNA
Rfam family: 5.8S ribosomal RNA (bases 1-120)
Source: RNAcentral
GAUGAAGAACGUAGCGAAAUGCGAUAAGUAAUGUGAAUUGCAGAAUUUAGUGAAUCAUCGAAUCUUUGAACGCACAUUGCGCCCCUUGGUAUUCCGAGGGGCAUGCCUGUUCGAGCGUCAUUAUAACCCCUCAAGCUCAGCUUGGUGUUGGGGCCUGCUGCACUGGCAGCCCUUAAAAUCAGUGGCGGCGCCAUCUGGCUCUAAGCGUAGUAAUUCUUCUCGCUAUGGAGUCCUGGUGGAUGCUUGCCAUCAACCCCCAAUUUUUCUAUGGUUGACCUCGGAUCAGGUAGGGAUACCCGCUGAACUUAAGCAUAUCAAUAAGCGGAGGA